ACCCCUUCUGGUCACUCAGGUGCACCUGAGCUUCCUGGGUUAGCCAUUCCUUCUCACCUGGUGCUCAACCAUUGGGUCAGGCUGUGGCCUAGAAAUUCUGCUGUACUAGUUGCACACAGUAAAAUAGAAAUAGUUGAAAGAUAACUUGUACAGACAAAGACCACGCAGAGCAACAAAAUUGAGACCGUUAUGGCAAAAUGGUGUCUCCCUAUUUUGGGAUAAUGGAGCUGCUUUCUUUGUCUAGAAAGCAGUCAGCCAGGUGUAAAGGGCAGGGAGAACAAUUACUGAAACGUGCUUCUACAAGGCAGAGCAGAGCACAAGAGGCUAGACAGAGCAUUUCAUUGUCUGAUUACAUCUAUUGAUGGGCUUACAGUGGAUCUGAUUUUAACAGAGUCCUGGGAUUCCUGAAGGCUGGUUUUACCAGUGGCAAAGAAGACUUUAAGUAUACCAGCUUUUUCCACCAGGCACCUUGCUCCUUUAAGCAGCAGGCCCACGUAUACAUUAGUCUUCGUUUCCACUGCUGAUAUACUUGUAUAAACCUUUCAUGUCUCUUGCCACAUUCAGCUCUAGAUGAACUCUCCUAAUCCUAUCCCUACAUGUUUGAACAGCAUAUUCAUAUUUCUUCUGGAUCACUUGUGUGUACUUUCACCUCAUGUACCUUUUCUGUUUACCUCUGAGUUUAGCGAGGAGCAGCCUAUUGAUCCACACUCCAGUCCUUUGAUUUCAGAUGGACCAUUCUUGGGACUGGAGCCAGUGAACCUUGAAUCAGUCACCUCUCCUGGACUCCUUCUUCUGAAGAUUCUCUCCCAUGGAAUUUACCUGAGGAUUUUCCUGAACAGGCCAAAGUCUUUUCUCCUGAAGUCCAAGGCUGUAGUCCUGCUUUUUGCCUUCUCCCUCCUUGGUGGUUCCUGAACUCCACUAUUUCAUGUUCACUGCAUUCUAGGGUGCCUCUGACUUUCACAUACAUUACCCAUUCUUCCUUGUUUAUAUGUAGGAUGUCUAUCAGAUUGUCUCCCAUUUUUGACAUCUUAAUCACUCACAUCAGGAAUCAAUAUACUCCAGAAACCAACUGGACUGUUUGUCCACAGCUGUGUUGUCCCUCCAAAAUUAGCAAGUUGUGCUUAACCUCUAGGUCAUCCAAACUGAGUUUAAAAUGGGGCAGUAGUUUAAUUUUAAUGGAUAAAUAAUUUAGUCCAUCAGGGUAGAAAAGGUUAAGAACCAUUUUCUCAACUGUAACUGCAUUCACACCUGUGAUGUAAAUUUGUUGUGGUACUAAGUUUCAGAUUGCACCAGAGCAAUAGUAAUGAGAUAUGUGAUAUAAUCAUGUAGUUUUAAGCAUUUGAAUAAAGUACGCAAUUUUGAUAUAAAAUAAAGAAGUUGUAUCGUGGAC
Molecule: long non-coding RNA, 1390 nt
Organism: Gallus gallus (chicken)
Lineage: Eukaryota; Metazoa; Chordata; Aves; Galliformes; Phasianidae
Source: Ensembl